UGGGGAAUUGUUCGCAAUGGGCGCAAGCCUGACGACGCAACGCCGCGUGGAGGACGAAGAUCUUCGGGUCGUAAACUCCUUUCGAUCGGGAAGAACGGCUUCCGGGUGAAUAGUCCGGAAGAGUGACGGUACCGAGAGAAGAAGCCCCGGCUAACUCCGUGCCAGCAGCCGCGGUAAUACGGGGGGGGCAAGCGUUGUUCGGAAUUACUGGGCGUAAAGGGCUCGUAGGCGGCCAACUAAGUCCGACGUGAAAUCCCCAGGCUUAACCUGGGAACUGCGUCGGAUACUGGAUGGCUUGAAUCCGGGAGAGGGAUGCGGAAUUCCAGGUGUAGCGGUGAAAUGCGUAGAUAUCUGGAGGAACACCGGUGGCGAAGGCGGCAUCCUGGACCGGCAUUGACGCUGAUGAGCGAAAGCCAGGGGAGCAAACGGGAUUAGAUACCCCCGUAGUCC
RNAcentral lists this ribosomal RNA (450 nucleotides) under uncultured bacterium. RNAcentral's name for it is "bacterial SSU rRNA". It matches the Rfam family "Bacterial small subunit ribosomal RNA", at positions 355 to 796 of the family's 1533-position model. The record is from RNAcentral.